GAACACAAUUAUCUACAUCGUUUAUCAGCAACAUGGUUUGGAAGUUAAGGGCCAAUGGAGACGUGCCUCCAAAUUACGGUAGUAGUUAUAUAUUUUUUGUUUAUUUGUUGCAUAACAUGUUUAAAUUAUUGGGUUCUGAGUUUAUUUGUUUAUUAUUAUAGAUAUUGUUGUUUAUGUGUAUGUUUUCUUGGUUAAUGUUGAUUAUUUUGGGGCAUCCAUGUUUUGAAUGUUUUACCCAAUACUUGUCGUAAGUGGUGUAUCUUCUUCCUAUAUUCAGAUCAAUCCAUGAAGUUUUCAUGACAGGUCUUCUUGAACAAAAGCAUGUCGCAUCCAUACGAAAUAGAAAUCAAAUCAAUAGAUAAAUUGGAAGAAGAAGAAGCAGUGGCAAUUCAAGAACGGGAAUUGCAAUAACAUAGAAGAGACAAAAAAAUUAGGGCUUAUAACAAUUAUAAAUGGAGGAAAAUUGGGGAUCCUAACGGUAACAAAGGAUAAGAUGGAACCAUGAUUAAAGUGUAUUGGAAAAGACGAAUUAACCCUUGUAUUCGCAUGUGCGAACCACAUGUGUGACAAUCCGAUCUUUUUUUUUUUUUUACAAAGAACAUCUUAUAAGUGGUGUCGUUCAACAACUAACUAAGUUCAGGUAAAAACGUACAAAUUUCGUAAGUUCGGGGUUGCCGUGCAAAACAUCCCAAAGUCCAGG
RNAcentral lists this long non-coding RNA (700 nucleotides) under Erythranthe guttata (spotted monkey flower). RNAcentral's name for it is "long non-coding RNA (EGUT_LNC000878)". Lineage: Eukaryota; Viridiplantae; Streptophyta; Magnoliopsida; Lamiales; Phrymaceae. The record is from RNAcentral.